This 538-nucleotide ribosomal RNA is filed under the name Pseudomonas sp. LS36. Its description in RNAcentral is "bacterial SSU rRNA". It matches the Rfam family "Bacterial small subunit ribosomal RNA", at positions 56 to 589 of the family's 1533-position model. The record is from RNAcentral. Lineage: Bacteria; Pseudomonadati; Pseudomonadota; Gammaproteobacteria; Pseudomonadales; Pseudomonadaceae.
UGCAAGUCGAGCGGUAGAGAGAAGCUUGCUUCUCUUGAGAGCGGCGGACGGGUGAGUAAUGCCUAGGAAUCUGCCUGGUAGUGGGGGAUAACGUUCGGAAACGGACGCUAAUACCGCAUACGUCCUACGGGAGAAAGCAGGGGACCUUCGGGCCUUGCGCUAUCAGAUGAGCCUAGGUCGGAUUAGCUAGUUGGUGGGGUAAUGGCUCACCAAGGCGACGAUCCGUAACUGGUCUGAGAGGAUGAUCAGUCACACUGGAACUGAGACACGGUCCAGACUCCUACGGGAGGCAGCAGUGGGGAAUAUUGGACAAUGGGCGAAAGCCUGAUCCAGCCAUGCCGCGUGUGUGAAGAAGGUCUUCGGAUUGUAAAGCACUUUAAGUUGGGAGGAAGGGUUGUAGAUUAAUACUCUGCAAUUUUGACGUUACCGACAGAAUAAGCACCGGCUAACUCUGUGCCAGCAGCCGCGGUAAUACAGAGGGUGCAAGCGUUAAUCGGAAUUACUGGGCGUAAAGCGCGCGUAGGUGGUUUGUUAAGUU